CUUUAAAAACCGCGCCCAGUCCGAACCCGGCAGAAGCCAUUUUAGGACUCAAUCAAUCAGUCCUGCCUGUUGUGGUCCAGCCAACCGUGACAAUCGCUUCUCCGCCAUCGAAAACUCCUGGUGUAACCCCUCCCCCUGCGCAUCGACCCAAUUUAUGAUCCAUCAACGAAGAAAGAAUUAGCAGUCUGCUUGUAACUUAGAUAGCUGAAACAGAAAGUGUUUAAUCAAACUGCUGUGGCUAUGCAUCUUCAUCAUCGGCGUGUCCUGAUCUUGAGUAGUGAAUGCAGCUUGGGUACCCACAGGUGAAGGGUACUACCUACUAUGAGAGGAAAGAAGGGGAGGAAGUACGGAAUUUGGCCUUUCCCUCCUGUACGUGUUGAGGGGUACCAGUGAAAGGGAAUUAACUCUCCACCUGAACAGUUGUUACAAACUCCAACCGCUAUUCCCAGGUACCUGUGGGGAUUUUCCCUUAAAUUCAUUUUCAUCUGUUAGGGAUCUGGGCCUUCUAUGGAAUGAGCACCAGCAAUUGGACAUUUGCCAACUACAAAGUUAUGAAUAUUUGAACUCUACUUCCCCAUCUACCAAAUAGUCUCUGGAAAGCAUGAAGAACUCCUUCUGCCUCAGACCAUCUGGUAGUAAGGGAAGAAUUCCUUCCUAAACCCCAUACUGGUACUAUCUUAAAGAAGUACAAUGCUGAUCUCAAAAUGGAUGUGAGCUACUGAAGUGGUUUGAGGAGUCUGGUAGGGUAUCCUUAGAAGAAUCCUUGUCAGUGAGAUCCUCCUUAUAUAGACUGCAGUGCACAUACUACAUUGUUUUAGCUUCCCUUCCACAACCCAAAAAGAAAAAUAAACCUUGAUAAAGGAGGCA
This 867-nucleotide long non-coding RNA is filed under the name Crocodylus porosus (Australian saltwater crocodile). RNAcentral describes it as "lncRNA (ENSCPRG00005009890.1)". The record is from RNAcentral. Lineage: Eukaryota; Metazoa; Chordata; Crocodylia; Crocodylidae.